UACUUCGCCAUACGAACUGUAAGUCCAAGGCGGCGGAUCCAGCUUUCAGGGACCCCUCCUCAUCCAUUCACCCGAACACCCGAAGAGACGGAGGGUUCGGCAAUCGCCACCAAUCCAGCGUGCGAAUCUGGUCCAUCAACUGUGACCUCAACUCCACAUCUCAGCAGCUAGCCAUAAUCUCGCGCUCCCGACUAAUUCGGGGGUCUCCCCAGGAAUCGAACCCAGGACCUUAAACCGCUAAUUGCAGUAGUGUCAACCCAGACCAGACCAGUCUUGGUAUCUCAUCUUCGGAUGGAUCGGUAUUCCUUCAUAGGAAUCUCCUAAAGUCUUCUUGCCGUUCACCACUAACCCACAGACUAUAAAUGAUCUAGAACUGACAAUGUGAUAAAGCGGCCCAGAAGCCUCCCACUCUGUAACAUUACAUUACAUUACAUUACAUUACAUUACCAAGACUUGCAUAACUUGUGUCUUAUAUACCAGUACCAAUGGAAGUAUCGUACAGAUGUCCACCAUCCCUGGACCUGAGGACACGUCCGAGGCACAGCCGAGGCACAGCCGAGGCACAGCCGAGGCAAGGUCGAGGCAAGGUCGAGGCACGGCCCACCAAUAACUACCAGUUAUGCAUCGGCAGUCCCAUAAGAUGCGGGAUAAGACUCCCCACAUGUCUCCCACAGACCCGAGGUCAAAUCCCCUGUCCGAAAAUACUCGAAUUGGGAUAAGUAUCUUUCCGGAAUAAGAAUCAGCGUCAGCCGUCACCGUCGCCAAUCCUCCAAUAGGUUACGAGCCCCGAGUAGCGCCGACAGCUAUCGUCUGAUUGUUAUUUCUAUCCCUUAUCGACAAUGGUCAAGGAUAAGCUUGAUGAGCCGCUGGACCUCCACAAGUACUCCACGUGGCAAAUCCGGUUUAGCGUAUUGUGCAUGGAGCUUGGGCUUGAGCAGUCUUUGCUCGCCGAACCGUGUAACGAGGAGCAGAUUCGUCAAUCGCGGAAAGUCAUCAAUCUGCUUAUCAAGAACGUCAAGGGAUCACCAUUUGCCGAUGGUCACCGGUGCCGCCAACGCGAAGAAGGCUUGGGAUGCCUUGAACUCGAUGUUCGCUGCCAACAACAGGCAGGUGGCUGGCAGAGGUUAAGGCCUGGCUUCUGCUCCCGUCGCGUCCCGGCGCGUCCGGGUUCAAAUCCGCAUGCCGACCUCUCGGGGUGUUUGAGAGGUGGGAGGUGGCCCCCCAUGGGAGGUGGCCCCCCAUCUUAUGGACGGUGUAGGACGUGAUAAAAUCAACUCGCGAGCUGACCAGGAACUAAGUUGACGCGCCGUUGAUCCGCUAGAUUUGGUUGGAUGCUGGUGGUGAGUUGCCAAACUCAAAGAGUACACUCUGAAGUCGGAUGGGGUGAAUGGCUUAGGGUGCCCCUCUAGCAGGGGAGAGCAGGGAAUUGCCUCGGGAAGGAGGCCACUGGUGAAGCUUAACCACCCUGUAACAACAUCAACAACGGUGAAGCUUAACCACCCUGUAACAACAUCAACAACGCCCGCAAGGUGGCUCUACGCCAAGAAUUAAGCCGCUUCAAGAUGGUCGAUGGCGAGCCACUUCCGAAGUAUUUCGCGCGUGCGAGGCAGCUGCAAACGGACUUGUUGGGUGUCGGACACGUAAUCAACGACUCCGAGCUGGCGUAUACCGUCCUAGUUGGUCUACCCAAUCGGUACAGUGUGGUGACGACAACACUACUGAUGCGUGACGGUGAUUUGGACAUGGCGAACGUCACAUCAAAGUAUCGAGACGGCAAACGGUGGGUCAGGCAAAUCUACCGAGUCGGCAGUGUUUGCAUCUGUCGGCGGUUCAAUGUUCGGCGCUUCUAGCAGUCGUCAAUUUCUGGAUAUAAGGGUGGCUACAACAACAGUGGCAGCAGAGCUAGUGGCAGCAAGCCAGGAUCCAGUGGAUCAGCUAGGGAGCCAGGUGUUCCGCGGCAGGUAGCGUUCGUAGCAUACAACAACGAGCGUCCGACAGAAUGGUUUCUGGACUCCGCAUCUACUCACCAUGUAACUUACACCCGAUCCGAACUAUUCAAUGUACGUGUGUUGGAGCCUUGGGAACGCUUCAGCAUUGUGGGCAUUAAGGGCCAGUCACUGCGUCCGACAGAGGUUGGAUCACUUACCAUUCGAUCUAAUGUCAACGACAAUCAAGCCAUCACAUUCAAAAGGGUCUACAUUGACGAGGAGGCGAUGGUAAAGAUUUUAUCCGUCCGUAUCAUCGACGAUCGCGGAGGUUGCGUCGUCUUCGGUGACGGUCAAGUAAAGGUAUACCUGCAAAAUCAUUUAGUGUUGACCGGUGAACGGGACGGUGAUCUCUACCCCACUUGCUAUCGAGGUGGAAGUACAGGCACCAUCAGGAGGACACAGAAUACGAGCUACUGUGACAACGGACAUGGUACAACGUGCACGGCCGUGGAUUCCAACACUUUGGCAUCGGCGUUACGGACAUCUGGGCUACAGCAACCUCGAGGCGUUGCUGCGCCACAAUAUGGUAAUGGGAUUUGACGUCGACCAGCACAGCUUUCAGAAAGCCAGUAUGUGUGUUUGUGAGACCUGCGUUUUUGCAAAGCAGACACGAGGUCCUUUCCGCUGACACAAGGCAGCCAAGCCACUAGCACUAGUUCACAUGGAUGUGUGUGGACCUAUGCCUGAACCUUCGCCUAGUGGUUCGCGUUACGUGACAACUCUGCUUGACGAUCAUACCGGUCUUUCAGCUGUUGCGUUUACAGCGACCAAGGAGGAGGUCUAUCAGAAGAUGGUGGUAAUGAUAGCGGAACUGCAGCGCGCUUCUGGCAGGCAGGCGCUUAAGGAGGUGCGUACGGAUCGUGGCGGGGAGUUCAUUAAUACUCGCACGAAGGGCUAUUUCGCGUCCAGGGGUAUUGUACACGGAACUACGGUAGGCUAUAUAUAGGCUAUAUAGGCUAUAUACCCCUGAGCAAAACGGAGCUGCGGAACGUUUGAAUCGCACUCUCCUAGACAAAACCAGCGCUAUGCUUGUCGAGUCCGGACUACCUAAGUCAUUAUGGGCGGAAGCAUUGGCGACAGCCAAUUACCUCAGGAAUGUGUCGCCAACUGCUGGGUCAACUGUCACACCAUAGGAAGCUUUCUUGAACGUCCGUCCUUACGUCAGUCACCUUCGAGUUUUUGGGUGCGUCGCCUACAUCCACGUACCUGACAUCAAACGCGACAAGUUCGAUCCGGUGAGCAGGCGUGGUAUACUUGUUGGUUACGGGAACGGAGGACAGUACCGUGUGCUGUACGAGGACGGCAGUAGUUUCUAACGUUCGCUUUGAUGAGUCUAACGUCGGCCGGCGGCGUAAUGCCGGGGACUCCGAUUAUGAGUCCAAUGCUGACGAGGAGGAGGAUUUUCGCACUAGUUUGCCUGGUGAGGGAUCGCUGCCUAGGGCUGGCAAAGGGAAACCAGGCAGCACUGUCGGCGAGGGACCGCCGCACUUGGGUGGCGAGGGGGCGCCGGCUGGGGCUGGACCUUCCAGCAGUGCGAACGGGCAAGGAAUCAAUCAGCCUGAUGUGGAAAUGGCGGGAACUAGGUAUCCAGUUAGAGAACGUAAACGCUGCUUUCUCUGCUGGUAUUCCUGAACCUUAUUCGUUUGCUUCAGAUCCACAUGCAGACGACUGGCGGCGUGCGAUGGAUGAGGCCACUCAGAUGGCCAAGGGAGCUUAAGAAGCCGCCGCCUGGUACACGUUUACUGCCUUGUCGGUGGGUGUAUAAGGUGAAGCAUGAUGCAGACGGUAAUGUGGAGCGCUUUAAGGCGCGUUUAGUUGCAAAGGGUUUCGAACAACGCGAGGGGAUUGAUUAUGGGGAGUUGUUUGCCCCUACCUCUCGUGGUUCAUCUUUACGUGCUUAAAUAGCAGUUGCCGCAGCGCGGAACAUGACAGUGCACCAGCUCGAUGUGUCUACUGCGUUUUUGAACGGUGAGCUGACCGGUCGCUUGCGUGCAAGCUGCAGAGGUCUAUUUACGGUUUGAAGCAGGCACCCCGUUGCUGGUAUGAAAAGCUAUCAGCAGAGUUCGCCAAGCUGGGUCUUUAUCCUUCGAAGUCUGAUCCGGCGAUGUUCGUUAAGACGGACGAGCGUGGGGUUGUUAUUGCUUUGGUGCAUGUAGAUGACACCAUUGUUGCGUCAGAAGACCCGGAAUGGUCCGGGCAAUUAAAGUCGCAAUUGCGAAAGUCUUCAAGGUGCGUGACCUUGGAGAAGCGAAGGUGUUUUGGGGUAUGGAGAUAGGAGGGAGAAGUCGGGUGAGAUAGUGUUGUCGCAGCAUAGGUAUAUUGAGCAGCUGUUGGAGCGUCAUAGGAUGGUUGACGCCAAGCCGAGAUCUACCCCUUUGCCUCCGGGCUUUAGGUACACUCCUAAGGAGGACGGAGAGGAGCUGCUGGGCAAUGGUGGGAGGAUUGAACUAUCUGGCGACGAACAUGCGGCCUGACAUUUCGUAUGCAUUGAGCGUCUUGUCCCGGCAUAUGGCCACACCUACGAAGACAGCCAUGAACUUGGCCACUGGCGUUCUGCGUUACCUGGCGGGUACUCGCGAACUAGGAUUGCGUUUUGGGGGUGUUGGCGGUGUUGCAAUGUCCGGGUAUAGCGAUUCUGGCUGGGCAGGAGACCCAGUUACGCGGUGUUCUACGUCCGGUUACGUAUUCACUCUUAAUGGGGCUGCGAUUAGCUGGAGCAGCCAACGUCAACGUACUGUGGCGGCUUCGUCGGUGGAGGCCGAGUACCAAGCUACAGCGGCGGCUGUUCGUGAAGCUUUGUGGCUUCGCACGCUGAUGGUCGAUUUGGGCUUGCCUGAGAGCGCGGUGAAAAUCCAGAUAGACUCCCAGGGGGCGCUUAGCUUGGGAAAUAAUCCGAUUACGUCUGCUCGGUCGAAACACAUCGACGUGCAGCAUCGACCUUGCCUCGACCUUGCCUCGGCCGUGCCUCGACCUUGCCUCGACUGUGCCUCGACCUUGCCUUGGGUCUCUCGGCCGCGUAUCUCGGACGUGUCCUUAGGUCCAGGGAUGGUGGACAUCGUACGAUACUUCCAUAGGUACUGGUAUAUAAGACACGAGUUAUGCAAGUCUUAGAAUCUCAUCUUUGGAUGGAUCGGUAUUUCUUCAUAGGAAUCUCCUAAAGUCUUUUUGCCGUUCACCACUAACCCACAGGCUGUAACCCUUAUAUCGCGACCAGUCUCCAUGCCUUCAUAUUCUUAACAAACCGCCGACAAAUGCAAACGCUGCCGACUCUGUAGAUUUGCCUGACCCACAGUUUGCCGUCUCGAUAGCUAAAAGCUUCGAUGUGACGUUCGCCAUGUACAAAUCGCCGUCACGCAUUUGUAGUGUUGUCGUCACCACGCUGUACCGAUUGGGUAGACCAACAUGGACGGUAUGCGCCAGCUCGGUGUCGUUGAUUACGUGGCCGACACCCAACAAGUCCGUUUGUAGCUGCCUCGCACGCACGAAAUGAGUGGCUCGCCGUCGGAAGUGGCUCGCCGUUGACCAUCUUUAAGCGGCUGAAUUCUUGUCGUAGAGCCACCUUGCGGGCGUUGUUAUUGGCAGCGAACAUCGAGUUCAAGGCAUCCCAAGCCUUCUUCGCGUUGGCGGCACCGGUGACCAUCGGCAAAUGGUGAUCCUUCACGUUCUUGAUAAGCAAGUUGAUGACUUUCCGUGAUUGACGAAUCUGCUCCUCGUUGCACGGCUCGGCGAGCAAAGACUGCUCAAGCCCAAGCUCCAUGCACAUCGCGCUAAACCGGAUUUGCCACGUGGAGUAGUUGUGGAGGUCCAGCGGCUCAUCAAGCUUAUCCAUGACCAUUGUCGAUAAGGGAUAGAAAUAACAAUCAGACGAUAGCUGUCGGCGCUACUCGGGGCUCAUAACCUAUUAAGACCAGCAAAGCGCCGGACCCCCGUUGGGUCCUAUUACUGUGGCUACCAUUCACUGGUAUAUGAGUGUCGGUCAUUUCCAACAAGCUUGCUAUUCGCCGAACGUGGGAUAAACAUUUUGAUGUGUGGGAGCACCUCCUUCCUGCCCGCUUGCUCGGCCGCCAGCCCUAUCCAAUGCUUAUACUUCGCCAUGUGGAUUCCUGGUUGCUUGCACUCUGAAGGAUACAUGUCAGGCUGGACAUCUAAACGCGUAUGCUUCCAACCACUCAUUAAUCGGUCCUUGAACUCCAAAAUCACACCUUCUAUGUAAUGUGUAAUGUUACAGAGUGAGAGGCUUCUGGGCCGCUUUAUCACAUUGUCAGUUCUACGAUCAUUUAUCACCUUAUAGCACCAUCCACCACUACCACACUGUACUUCGCCAUACGAACUGGAAGUCCAAGGCGGCGGAUCCAGCCUUCGGGGACCCCUCCUCAUCCAUUCACCCGAACACCCGAAGAGACGGAGGGUUCGGCAAUCGCCACCAAUCCAGCGUGCGAAUCUGGUCCAUCAACUGUGACCUCAACUUCACAUCUCAGCAGCUAGCCAUAAUCUCGCGCUCCCGACUAAUUUGGGGGUCUACCCAGGAAUCGAAUCCAGGACCUUAUACCGCUAAUUGCAGUAGUGUCAACCCAGACAAGACCUUCUGGCAUUGGCCUGUUCAUCAGCCACUCCACUCGUUCGUCUACCUCGUGUAGCCCUUGCGGGGCCUCUUUCAUCGUGCCCCAAAAAACAUAGAAAACGGAGGAGUAGUGUCCCCCAUCCGGCCCCUUCGGGGUUGGAGAGGGAUUCUGCGACCUCCUGUCGUAAAACUUGGUAUGCCACAGACCCACGCUGUAAACGGACAUGGUUCCAAAACCUCACAACCUGCUUGAGAACGUGGUAGUGCAGGGGUAGCUGCGACAGCUCUGCGAACAGGAGGUGGUGUGUUGGUCUGGCAGCUCCUACAAUUUGCCGCAUGAAAGAUAUCUGAAGCUGCACUGCCCUGUCCUUUAGGCAUGCCUUGGAGGGCCCCUCUGCCCUUAUUCGCCUCACUCCGCUUCCUGAUCCUGUCCGAGACCUC
This 6990-nucleotide long non-coding RNA is filed under the name Volvox carteri. RNAcentral describes it as "long non-coding RNA (VCAR_LNC001984)". Lineage: Eukaryota; Viridiplantae; Chlorophyta; Chlorophyceae; Chlamydomonadales; Volvocaceae. The record is from RNAcentral.